This is a long non-coding RNA of Patella vulgata (common limpet), 2033 nucleotides long. RefSeq lists it as uncharacterized. The record is from RefSeq and is a predicted model, not a curated record. NCBI's taxonomy places the organism in Eukaryota, Metazoa, Mollusca, Gastropoda, Patellidae. The transcript has 4 exons.
GAUCUAAAUACGAUAAAACAUCGUUAAUUAAGCUCAUUAACUCCAGGUGAACUUGAAGCAGACGACGUUGUUGUUGUCCUUAGUAACGAAUGUCAUAAAAGUAAUGAUAACAGCUUGCUAAUGUUUGAGAGAAACUGCGAUAUAGAUAUCUAUAAUGUUUAUAUAAUAUUUGAUUAUUAGAACUGAAGGUCAAUCGUGUGUCAUAUAUGAUUGGGACAUUGGAUUUUAUUGCUAAUAGUUUGUAUAGAAAUGGAGCUCCAACUAUCCUCUCACCUGUACGUUAUACUCAUUGGACUACUGUGCUUAAUUACAGAGUCUACAGCAAAAAAAUGUAAAAAUUUUGAAGAAGACUGUCUUGAUGUUGAACCGUCACCGGAAGUGCUGGGUAUAACUAUAGUUCUGUGUGCCGGAGCUUUACUCUCCAUUUUAUGUCCUAUUAUAUGCCUAAUAAAACCAUGUAAUACAAAAUGGAAGAGAAUAUUAAGUGAGAAAUUAGGCUGGGAUUUUCAAAGCCCGACUUCAAAUUCGGAAAUACGCAUUAAUCAAAUAGAACGAGGUGGAAAUCGAGAAGGUUCAAGGCAAGCUGUAGAGACGACAGCAAUAUCUAUUAUAGAUUUACCGCCAUCUUACGAUGAGGUCAUCAAGAACUCCAAUCUCUACAGUUUUCAUAAAACAACAGUGGCCCAAUCUGUGGACAACAAUAGCCCUACAGCUUUACCAUCAUGAUUGGAAUCAGGAACGUUAUUUACGUGUCUCUGUAGUAAUUGGUGACAAAAAUAAAAAACCUAAACAUUUGUGGAUUAAAAUUACCGUGUUUUAUAACGAAAAACGAAAACGUUUAGACAAUUAAGUAAUUUUACUACAUAAAGGUUUUGUUUAAUGUAAUCCGAAGUAUUAAAACAAUUACGUCAUCUGUCACACUUCCGGUUACAUACUUAACCAAUCGAUUUUAUUGGUUGAUGAGAUAUCACUUAUGGAUCAAUGAUAUAUAAUAUAUUACAUGACUUGCAAUACGAGUAAGCUAUAAACUCAGCAGUAUUGUUGAAAGUUGUUUAAAUCAGGGUCACGGGUACGAUCUAAAGGGACAAACAUUUAGGGAGCUUAUCUAUUGGACACUUUGUCCUUUGUGACAAAUUUGUAUACCUACACAGUGACCCACAGGUUGGCUAUAAACAUUCCAUUUUUAGAUAUAUAUGUAUUGUAAAGUUUUAUGUAAAGGAACACGAUUUAAUAUUUUGACAUGGCCAAUUGUCCAUCUAUUUAAAAAAAAUGAGCCCCUCUAAGGAAAACAUUAUCCAUAUGGAUUUCCUUUAUAUAAGAACAUCCAGCCCCAUCAAACAUAACCACCGUAUAGAGCCCCGCUAAGGAAAACAUUAUCCAGAUUUAUUUCCUUUAUAUACGAACACCCAGUCCCACCAAACAUAACCACCGUAUAUUUAUUCCAUUUAUUGUUAUUUUAUAGUUUUUAGUUCAUACACGUAUUUCAUUUUUUCAUAACUUAAUAUUUAUUUCCAGACAACUAUACUCUUGUGACACUCGAGACUAUGGUCUCGUUAUGGGGCAAACAGAGGCGGAUCCAGGAAUUUUUACAGCAGGGGGUUUGCCAGGUCCCCUUUAAGGAAAUUUGACAGUUGACAAUGCAUGAUGCUAUCACAUCGUCUCCAAAUUACGUAGGCAUACAUACACACUGAGCUUUUUAAAGAAAGAAAUCCAACCCCCGUUUGACGUCAAUUUUUAUUUUAAAUUAAUAGGAUUACAUUGUGAUUUAGCUUAUAUGAUGCAAAGUAUUAAUUGUGAUAUCACACAUAACUAUAUCAUCAUCUCGCGCUUUGAAUGCCCAUCCCAUCCAACCAUCUGAUGAUAAAGGAUAAAGCUCUGGAUCCGCCCCUGGCAAAGUUUAAAUAAACGCUGGUCGUUUUAUCUUGUUUACGUUAUAUUUAUUAAUUAUAUUUUUUUUGUAUUAUUAUAACCACCGGCAUUAACUCGGACAUACUACUCCAUUUUUAUGUACAUAAAAUAAUUUUUUAAACUGA